This 301-nucleotide ribosomal RNA is filed under the name uncultured bacterium. RNAcentral's name for it is "partial 16S ribosomal RNA". It matches the Rfam family "Bacterial small subunit ribosomal RNA", at positions 509 to 807 of the family's 1533-position model. The record is from RNAcentral.
CAGUCGCCGCGGGAAUACGGAGGGUGCAAGCGUUAUCCGGAUUUAUUGGGUUUAAAGGGUCCGUAGGCGGACUUAUAAGUCAGUGGUGAAAGCCUGUCGCUUAACGAUAGAACUGCCAUUGAUACUGUAAGUCUUGAGUAUAUUUGAGGUAGCUGGAAUAAGUAGUGUAGCGGUGAAAUGCAUAGAUAUUACUUAGAACACCAAUUGCGAAGGCAGGUUACCAAGAUAUAACUGACGCUGAGGGACGAAAGCGUGGGUAGCGAACAGGAUUAGAUACCCGAGUAGUCCCUGUCUCUUAUAC